This 93-nucleotide non-coding RNA is filed under the name unclassified sequences. The record is from Rfam.
CGGUUCGAGAGCAAGCCAAUGGGAGGUUUGCGAGAAUAGACCAUGAUCCAGUUGCGUGUGCGGCGCAUAGCUGUGGCCCCGACAGCCAAUGUG